AGUGAACGCUGGCGGUAGGCCUAACACAUGCAAGUCGAACGGCAGCACAGUAAGAGCUUGCUCUUACGGGUGGCGAGUGGCGGACGGGUGAGGAAUACAUCGGAAUCUACUUUUUCGUGGGGGAUAACGUAGGGAAACUUACGCUAAUACCGCAUACGACCUACGGGUGAAAGCAGGGGAUCUUCGGACCUUGCGCGAUUGAAUGAGCCGAUGUCGGAUUAGCUAGUUGGCGGGGUAAAGGCCCACCAAGGCGACGAUCCGUAGCUGGUCUGAGAGGAGGAUCAGCCACACUGGAACUGAGACACGGUCCAGACUCCUACGGGAGGCAGCAGUGGGGAAUAUUGGACAGUGGGCGCAAGCCUGAUCCAGCCAGACCGCGUGGGUGAAGAAGGCCUUCGGGUUGUAAAGCCCUUUUGUUGGGAAAGAAAAGCAGCAGGUUAAUACCCAGCUGUUCUGACGGUACCCAAAGAAUAAGCACCGGCUAACUUCGUG
Molecule: ribosomal RNA, 492 nt
Filed under: uncultured bacterium
Lineage: Bacteria
Description: partial 16S ribosomal RNA
Rfam family: Bacterial small subunit ribosomal RNA
Source: RNAcentral